This 75-nucleotide transfer RNA is filed under the name Pseudomonadota bacterium. Its description in RNAcentral is "tRNA-Gly". It matches the Rfam family "tRNA". From Rfam's summary of the family: Transfer RNA (tRNA) molecules are approximately 80 nucleotides in length. Their secondary structure includes four short double-helical elements and three loops (D, anti-codon, and T loops). Further hydrogen bonds mediate the characteristic L-shaped molecular structure. tRNAs have two regions of fundamental functional importance: the anti-codon, which is responsible for specific mRNA codon recognition, and the 3' end, to which the tRNAs corresponding amino acid is attached (by aminoacyl-tRNA synthetases). tRNAs cope with the degeneracy of the genetic code in two manners: having more than one tRNA (with a specific anti-codon) for a particular amino acid; and 'wobble' base-pairing, i.e. permitting non-standard base-pairing at the 3rd anti-codon position. Lineage: Bacteria; Pseudomonadati; Pseudomonadota. The record is from RNAcentral. RNAcentral also lists the same sequence under 3 other names.
GAGGGAUUAACUCAGUGGUAGAGUGUCAGCUUCCCAAGCUGAAGGUCGCGGGUUCAAAUCCCGUAUCCCUCUCCA